Molecule: non-coding RNA, 912 nt
Organism: Salvia hispanica
Lineage: Eukaryota; Viridiplantae; Streptophyta; Magnoliopsida; Lamiales; Lamiaceae
Source: RefSeq, a predicted model, not a curated record
CGAGAGUCUUUUUCAGCGUUAGUCUAGUUUCGUUUCACUAGACUAAACAGUUUUAGUAUUGAAGGCUCACCACGCUCAACCGAGAAAGAGGUAAUUUAUUUUAAUGAGAAAAGGAAGUAGAAAAUUUUUGAGAAAGAAAGAAGAGAAAAUUUUUGUAAGAAUGAGGAAGUAAAAUCUUUCCGUGAGGGACUGAUUUCAAACUGAGAAGAGUAUUUGCUAUGUUUAAGAAAAGAGCGAGUUUUGAAGAGGAAUGAUGAGUUUGAGUUUGAGUUUGGGUUGAGUUUGAAUUUUGAGUUUGAAAGUGAGAGAGACAGUUCAAUUUUUUUUAAGAUAAGUUGAGAGUUUUAUGAUGAUGUUUGUUUCGAGUCAAAACCUUUUAAAGUUUGAAAGUAAAGGCUUUUGAGUUUGGAGAAAAUGUGUGAGUUUCAAAUAUAUUUUGAGUUUCAAGAGAAAACGAGUAACUUUUGUUUCUUUCGAAGAGCUUGGAUUGUGGAAGUGGACGAGAAACGCGAAGGUGCUGCGACAUAGGAUGCGAGGUGUUAUGUGUUUAUGCAUGUUUAAUUACGUGAGAGAUAUGAAUGACGUUUUAUGUAAUGGUUUGUAGAUGUUGAGGUAUGAGGUAGAUUAUGAAAUUGUUGAUGGAAGUGAAGUAUGAGACAAUGAGCUUUGCGUGCGAACAUAGAGUAACUAAGAGAUAGGCUAGGAUGAACAUGCUCGAAUUUAGUUAAGAAGUUUCAGCUGCAACCCCACUUUCCUGAGUGAUAAGAUUAACUAAAAUCUGUAGUUGAGCUCGAGUUAAGAUGGGUAGUUACAAUUUCCUAUCAUUUUCCCUGAACCUUAAAAACAAGGAGAAUACAAAACGAUGUUGCGUGUGAUAAGGAGUUCAAGAAGAAAAGAAGUUCAAAAUGAAAA